Long non-coding RNA from Dromaius novaehollandiae (emu), 2247 nucleotides. RefSeq lists it as uncharacterized. The record is from RefSeq and is a predicted model, not a curated record. NCBI's taxonomy places the organism in Eukaryota, Metazoa, Chordata, Aves, Casuariiformes, Dromaiidae. The transcript is spliced from 2 exons.
GCCCCCCCCCCCCCCCCCGCAAACACUCCCGAGGUAAAAUUAUUAUUAUUCCAGUUUGACAAAUUUAGCGAUCUGUUUUGCCAGGUAGAUCUUUCUUUUCUACUCGAGGGAAAGAGGUCGAGCUUUGAAACCGAAAUAUACACAAAAUAGCUACAAUCUUUUGGGCAAAGCAGAAACCCACUGACCACACCUCUCCGAUAAGAGACCACUGGGGAUCAGUUCUGUUCCCCCAACACCAGCCCUACCGAACAAAAGAGAGAAAGAGAGAGAAAAUAAUAUUUGUUCAGGUCCCCCCUCUGUUCGCCUUUGAUUUAUCUGUUUACAACCAGGACCCCCUCAGUUGAAACAAAAAAUCAAUGAAAAUGUAGUUGGAGAAAAGGCGGGCAAACUACAGGAAAAAAAAAUUUUGUGAAUGGAAGAAUGUGUUUGUGCAUUCAUUGUUAAAAUAAAGAGCAUGCCGUGACGCGGGGCCGCGGGCGCCAAUGGGCGCCGGGAUAAUAUUUUUAAAUAUCCUCCCGGCGAGCCAAUGGGGGAGGCGGUGGCAAAGACUAGCGCAGGGGCGAGCCAAUGGCGGGGGAGGUAUGCUAAUGAGGAGUUGGUCAGGCAGGAGCUGAAUGUCAACUAGUCAAAGAUGGAGGCCGGAGCGGGGAGGCCAUGAGGCAUGGAAUGAAGCUCCCUCCCGUCACCUGCCGCAAGACACAUAAUCCAGCUUCCUAACCUUAAGGAUGAGACCCUAUCAAUAUUGCCUCUGCUUUUGUGAUCAGGGUAGUAGUGCAAUAUUGCUUAUAGGGUCUUUUCUUUGGAGGGUAUUCUUCAUGGAGAGAAGAAAGCCACAGCAGGAAAAAAAUAAUCCUAUGUGCCCAUCAAGUUAAGGGAAAAGUUGUGAAAUGCGAAGCAUUGUUAGAUAGGCAAGUAAUUGCACGGAGAUGUUAUGUGUGACAAGUAAUCGUGCUAUUGUGGUGACUCAGGUUGUGAGUAAUGGGCAUAUUUUUGAUGUUAUCACACAGGAUUCGAAACGGCCUUGUGCUUAAAAAGCGCAAGCAGCGACUGAAACUGGAGAAACCCAUCACGUCUCCAUUUUAAAAUAGUAUCAGACUCGAGAUGUUUGAAGGGUGCCUGUUUUACAUAAUGAUGUAAACACCCGUCAAGGGAUGGGAGGAGAUACAUAUAACCACACUUGCUCUUUCUGUGCCUGAUCCCAGCCUGAAAACUGGUGCAAAGCAGAGCGUUGCACAAAGAGACCACGGCUCUGAUCCCAGUAACCUCCUCAAACAAAGCUUGUGUCUCUGCCCAGCGAGCCGCCCCGCCGGGCUCCACAUACACGGGGCCGGGCCGUGGAGCCGGGGCCGUGUCCGUGGUCGGGGCGCGCGGCCCGGGCCCUUCCCUGGGCUGCACACGGAGGUACGUGGGAACGGAGCAGGCUGGCGGGGGUGAAGCUCCUCUCUGCUUUGUGAGUGAUCAGCUGGGGGCUGACAGCAGCUGGGACGGCCGAGUGGGUGGCCCUGCCUUCCAUUUCAGGUGGUCCCCUCGGUCCCUUUUCGGGACCUCCGAGGCCCAAGGAAAGGGAGGGCGGGAGGGGACAGAGCUGGCCUGGCAGAGCAGCCGCUGCCCCGGGGGUUUGCGAGCCGGGGCCCGGGCAGCGGGACCCCCUUGAGCCUGCUGCGUCUCUCCCUGGGGGGCGGCCGGGGGAGGUCCCGCAGGCCAGAGAUGGGGCCGUGCCCGCUGCCUCCUGACCCUGCCGCUGCCCUCGCGUUAACCUGCCAGCAUCACCCGGGGGGGCGGCCAGCGCUAGGCCAGAGGCAGGAAAGACCCCCCCCCCGGGGCUCUCCCCCGGCCUGCAGCUGCUGGGCCAGUGCCGGGACCACCGGGCGGGCUGCCCCUCUUUCCCUGUUGCACUACUGUCACGGUUGCAGCGAGCAGUGCAAUAAUGAAAGGGCGUCAGUGCGCCGGGGAGCGGCAAGAGCGGGGGGCGAGCUGGCCUCCAGCGUGGCAGCGGGUGGGGACGGGCUGUCCCGCCGCCCCCGGGAGCCACCUUAACCGGGGGGGGGGGGUACAACACACGGCUUUGAUUGUGCAACUUUCUUUGUUUAAGCACCAGCAGCGGAGAGUGUGUGCAGGAGCGGGGCAAGGUGAGCGGCCCUGUGCGCCGCCCUGGCCCCUCGCCUGGCCCCAGAGCGAGCGAGCGCGGCGCAGGGCGCCUCUUUGCUGUACCCAGCCAGCACCGAAUAAAUAAAGUGACUUCCCACA